CCCGUUCCCCUUUCCCCUCCUCGAUUCCUCUUCCCCUCCCUCUCCCUCUUCCUCGUCUACCGCCGCCACCACUAGCCGGAGCCCUCCGCCAUAGCCGCCGUCACCACUAGCCGGAGCCCUCCGCCAUAGCCGCCGCCACCAGCGCCCUCCCCAAAAGCCUGCAACCCACUUCUCUCUCCUCCGCUCACCUUAUUCCCACCAACGGCGAGCUCCUCCCCAAAGCCAUGGUGUGAGCGAGGAGGCGACAGGUCCGGAGACUACCUCCUGGAUCAGGAGGAGAAAGAGAAGCCUAGGGGCAAAAUUAUGCGUCUUAGCAGUGGCUCGAGCGAUGUAGGACGGUGAUGAGCGAGCGGCUUCUACAGGCGAUGGAAGCGGUGGUGGGGUGGCUUGGGGACCGGCGCUUGCGUCAACCGACGGCGAGCACGGCUGCUGCCAACCAGCCAAGGUAAGCUUGCCCCAACCCUUCCCUCUCUCCCUCUCUUUUCCCAUCUAUGCUCACUCCCUGUUUCAUCCUCUCCCAGGUCUUGGAUUCGCAAAGUGAUACAUCC
RNAcentral lists this long non-coding RNA (548 nucleotides) under Triticum aestivum (bread wheat). Its description in RNAcentral is "long non-coding RNA (TAES_LNC026388)". The record is from RNAcentral. Lineage: Eukaryota; Viridiplantae; Streptophyta; Magnoliopsida; Poales; Poaceae.